RNAcentral lists this ribosomal RNA (422 nucleotides) under uncultured bacterium. RNAcentral describes it as "bacterial SSU rRNA". It matches the Rfam family "Bacterial small subunit ribosomal RNA", at positions 355 to 774 of the family's 1533-position model. The record is from RNAcentral.
UGAGGAAUAUUGGUCAAUGGGGGCAACCCUGAACCAGCCAAGUCGCGUGAAGGAUGAAGGUCUUAUGGAUUGUAAACUUCUUUUAUACAGGAAUAAAUUGGGGGACGUGUCCCCUUUUGCAUGUACUGUAUGAAUAAGGAUCGGCUAACUCCGUGCCAGCAGCCGCGGUAAUACGGAGGAUCCGAGCGUUAUCCGGAUUUAUUGGGUUUAAAGGGUGCGCAGGCGGGAUGUUAAGUCGGCGGUGAAAUUUUGCAGCUCAACUGUAAAAGUGCCUUCGACACUGGCUUACUUGAGUGUGGAUGAAGUAGGCGGAAUUUGUGGUGUAGCGGUGAAAUGCUUAGAUAUCACGAGGAACUCCGAUUGCGCAGGCAGCUUACUAAGCCACAACUGACGCUCAUGCACGAAGGCGUGGGGAUCAAACA